CCUACGGGGGGCAGCAGUGGGGAAUUUUGGACAAUGGGGGAAACCCUGAUCCAGCCAUGCCGCGUGCGGGAAGAAGGCCUUCGGGUUGUAAACCGCUUUUGUCAGGGAAGAAACGCUCUGGGCUAAUACCUCGGAGUAAUGACGGUACCUGAAGAAUAAGCACCGGCUAACUACGUGCCAGCAGCCGCGGUAAU
This 194-nucleotide ribosomal RNA is filed under the name uncultured bacterium. Its description in RNAcentral is "partial 16S ribosomal RNA". It matches the Rfam family "Bacterial small subunit ribosomal RNA", at positions 338 to 524 of the family's 1533-position model. The record is from RNAcentral.